Molecule: microRNA precursor, 126 nt
Filed under: Myotis lucifugus (little brown bat)
Lineage: Eukaryota; Metazoa; Chordata; Mammalia; Chiroptera; Vespertilionidae
Description: mir-9193 microRNA precursor family
Rfam family: mir-9193 microRNA precursor family
Source: Rfam by way of RNAcentral
CAUGCAUCGGUGGGGUCCCUCGGCCUGGCCUGUGCCCUCUCGCAAUCUGGGACCCCUCAGUGGAUGUCGGAGAGCCAGUUUCAGCCUGAUCCCGCAGGCCAGGCCGAGGGACCCCACUGGUGCACA